AGUGGAAUAACUGGGUCAAAUGGUUUGGAAUGGUUCCAUUCCAAACUUUCUAAGGAAUCUCCAUACUGCUUUCCAUAAUGGUUGCACUAAUUUGCAGUCCCACCAGCAAU
RNAcentral lists this microRNA precursor (110 nucleotides) under Marmota monax (woodchuck). The record is from RNAcentral. Lineage: Eukaryota; Metazoa; Chordata; Mammalia; Rodentia; Sciuridae.